GAUGAACGCUAGCGACAGGCCUAACACAUGCAAGUCGAGGGGUAGGGUAGCAAUACCCGAGACCGGCGCACGGGUGCGUAACGCGUAUGUAACCUGCCUUACACAGGGGGAUAGCCUUCCGAAAGGGAGAUUAAUACCCCAUAACAUUAUCUUCCCGCAUGGGGAGUUACUUAAAGCUACGGUGGUGUAAGAUGGGCAUGCGUAUGAUUAGCUAGUUGGGGGGGUAACGGCCCACCAAGGCGACGAUCAUUAGGGGUUCUGAGAGGAAGAUCCCCCACACUGGUACUGAGACACGGACCAGACUCCUACGGGAGGCAGCAGUGAGGAAUAUUGGUCAAUGGGCGCGAGCCUGAACCAGCCAUGUCGCGUGCAGGACGACUGCCCUAUGGGUUGUAAACUGCUUUUGUAUGGGAAGAAACGACGGUACGCGUACUGUUUUGCCGGUACCAUACGAAUAAGGAUCGGCUAACUCCGUG
This 476-nucleotide ribosomal RNA is filed under the name uncultured organism. Its description in RNAcentral is "bacterial SSU rRNA". It matches the Rfam family "Bacterial small subunit ribosomal RNA", at positions 28 to 507 of the family's 1533-position model. The record is from RNAcentral.